UCUCUUCCCUCUCCCAUCUGGCGCUGCUCCUCUCCCUCUCUCUACCCUCUCUUUCUCUCUCUUCCCCUCUCUCUCUCUUUCUCUCUUUCUUUCUCUCUUUCUCUCUCUAUUUCUCUCUUUCUCUCUCUUAUCUAAUCAUUAAUUUGAAAUCAGUUCUUCAACUUUAGUUUUUUAAUUAAAAAAAUUUAUUUACAGAAUGACCAUAUAUAAAUUUUAGUAAAAUUUUAAAUAAAAAUAUUAAAAUAAUUCAACCCUAUAAAUAUUAAAAGUUAAAAAAAUAUUAAUUAACAAAUUAUUUUUUUAAUGUAUAUAAGACUAUUUUAUAAUUU
RNAcentral lists this long non-coding RNA (329 nucleotides) under Ananas comosus (pineapple). RNAcentral describes it as "long non-coding RNA (ACOM_LNC006492)". Lineage: Eukaryota; Viridiplantae; Streptophyta; Magnoliopsida; Poales; Bromeliaceae. The record is from RNAcentral.